Molecule: unclassified non-coding RNA, 80 nt
Filed under: Epilithonimonas hominis
Lineage: Bacteria; Pseudomonadati; Bacteroidota; Flavobacteriia; Flavobacteriales; Weeksellaceae
Description: Chryseobacterium hominis Flavo-1 RNA
Source: RNAcentral
CUGCAGCCCGGCUUGAACGGAAAUCCUUUGUUGUUUUUUGCAAAAAGCAACAAAGAUUGGGAGUGGAAGACGGAAAUGCU